CCUACGGGAGGCUGCAGUGGGGAAUAUUGGACAAUGGGCGAAAGCCUGAUCCAGCCAUGCCGCGUGUGUGAAGAAGGCCUUCGGGUUGUAAAGCACUUUCAGUGGGGAAGAAAGCCUUGGGGCUAAUACCCUCGAGGAAGGACAUCACCCACAGAAGAAGCCCCGGCUAACUCCGUGCCAGCAGCCGCGGUAAUACGGAGGGUGCGAGCGUUAAUCGGAAUUACUGGGCGUAAAGCGCGCGUAGGCGGUCUGAUAAGCCGGUUGUGAAAGCCCCGGGCUCAACCUGGGAACGGCAUCCGGAACUGUCAGGCUAGAGUGCAGGAGAGGAAGGUAGAAUUCCCGGUGUAGCGGUGAAAUGCGUAGAGAUCGGGAGGAAUACCAGUGGCGAAGGCGGCCUUCUGGACUGACACUGACGCUGAGGUGCGAAAGCGUGGGUAGCAAACAGGAUUAGAUACCCGUGUAGUC
Molecule: ribosomal RNA, 465 nt
Filed under: Vreelandella stevensii
Lineage: Bacteria; Pseudomonadati; Pseudomonadota; Gammaproteobacteria; Oceanospirillales; Halomonadaceae
Description: partial 16S ribosomal RNA
Rfam family: Bacterial small subunit ribosomal RNA
Source: RNAcentral